This 253-nucleotide ribosomal RNA is filed under the name uncultured bacterium. RNAcentral's name for it is "partial 16S ribosomal RNA". It matches the Rfam family "Bacterial small subunit ribosomal RNA", at positions 524 to 776 of the family's 1533-position model. The record is from RNAcentral.
UACGUAGGGGGCAAGCGUUGUCCGGAAUCAUUGGGCGUAAAGAGCGUGUAGGCGGCUCGAUAAGUCUGCUGUGAAAGUCCAGGGCUCAACCCUGGAAUGCCGGUGGAUACUGCCGGGCUGGAGUCCGGAAGAGGCGAGUGGAAUUCCUGGUGUAGCGGUGAAAUGCGCAGAUAUCAGGAGGAACACCAAUUGCGAAGGCAGCUCGCUGGGACGUUACUGACGCUGAGACGCGAAAGCGUGGGGAGCAAACAGG